Molecule: transfer RNA, 89 nt
Filed under: Dilophotes sp. Q LB-2014
Lineage: Eukaryota; Metazoa; Arthropoda; Insecta; Coleoptera; Lycidae
Description: tRNA-Glu
Source: RNAcentral
GAGGUGGAACACCCCAAGAAAGAAAAGAUAUUUAUAUAGUUUAAUCAAAACCUUACAUUUUCAUUGUAAAAUUAAAAUAUCUUUUAUAA